UCCAUAGGCGGUGUGGCAAGUCGGUAGUGAAAUCUCUCGGCUUAACUGAGAGGCUGCUGCCGAAACUGCCAUGCUCGAGUGCGAGAGAGGCGAGUGGAAUUGCGGGUGUAGCGGUGAAAUGCGUAGAUAUCCGCAGGAACAUCCGAGGCGAAAGCGGCUCGCUGGAUCGCAACUGACGCUGAGGGACGAAAGCUAGGGGAGCAAACAGGAUUAGAUACCCUGGUAGUCCUAGCCCUAAACCAUCAGGACUUGGGGUUUGCCCUGUACGGGGCAAGUCCCGGAGCUAACGCGUUAAGUCCUGCGCCUGGGGAGUACGGUCGCAAGGCUGAA
Molecule: ribosomal RNA, 330 nt
Filed under: uncultured bacterium
Lineage: Bacteria
Description: bacterial SSU rRNA
Rfam family: Bacterial small subunit ribosomal RNA
Source: RNAcentral